ACGUAGGAGGCGAGCGUUAUCCGGAUUUACUGGGUGUAAAGCGCGUGCAGGCGGUUCUGCAAGUGGGACGUGAAAGCGCCCAGGCUUAACCGGGCGAGGACAAUGAAGACUGGUCAGCUAGAGGACGGUAGAGGGGUGUGGAAUUCCGGGUGUAGUGGUGAAAUGCGUAGAGAUCCGGAGGAACACCAGAGGCGAAGGCGACACCCUGGGCCGUACCUGACGCUAAGACGCGACAGCACGGGGAGCGAACGG
RNAcentral lists this ribosomal RNA (252 nucleotides) under uncultured prokaryote. Its description in RNAcentral is "partial 16S ribosomal RNA". It matches the Rfam family "Bacterial small subunit ribosomal RNA", at positions 525 to 775 of the family's 1533-position model. The record is from RNAcentral.